ACUCCAAGUACAUCCUAUUCCUAUCAACAACAUUCGAGUACCCAACACAAAGGAUAUAUAAUGAACUGCUAUUUACUUGGACCAAGUCACUGUGCCAUGCAGACCGUCACAGUUGAGCCAAUUAGAAAGCUGUAUUCCAGACCCUCCAGCAUCGGCUUCUGGCAGGACCAUUGCUCCUCCUCAGGAUCAGCAAUACCAGCCUGAGAGGAGAGUACAGUGCAGCCCGCACUCUCCUGUUCUUAUUUUGGAGAGGCUGGAGAUUUAGCCAGAGAUUACUACCCCUAUCAUUCCCCAGACUCCUGAUUUCUCCCCCGGCCCAGAGGAGGAGCACAGAGGCCAAGGUUCAUUCAUGCUGCCACCCCAUGCCCUGAUGCCACCUACUGCUGUACCGCCUGUCCGAACUGUGCAGGAAAUCAUUCUGAGGGAGCUUAUAGAAUUAAGGCGUGGCAACCGAAAACUACGACGAAAGGUCAAAAGGCUUACCCGGCUUACCCAUCAGUUGAGCAGACAGCAAACUGACAGUUUUAAAAUUAUUUUGGCCCGGUCAAGCCAACAACACAAUUAGGCAUUGGACCGAGUUAGAAUUACGGUACUUGAAGAUAUUUCCAGACACAUUGCUCCAAUGCCUGGGAGCUACGAUGAACAUAUAACCAGCAAAGAAGUUUUGAAAAAUGAAGGCUAGACCUUCCUCUGCCCCAGGACCCAUGCCAUCUCAUCUCACAUUGUUAUGCAAAAUGUAUCUUUUUACAGUUCCUUGGUUUUGUUUGAAACGUUUUUUUAUGCUGCCAAGUUACUACCUACCCAGCAUGUGUGUUUGUCAUUUCUAAAA
Long non-coding RNA from Rana temporaria (common frog), 829 nucleotides. RefSeq lists it as uncharacterized. NCBI's taxonomy places the organism in Eukaryota, Metazoa, Chordata, Amphibia, Anura, Ranidae. The transcript has 3 exons. The record is from RefSeq and is a predicted model, not a curated record.